This is a long non-coding RNA of Falco peregrinus (peregrine falcon), 2581 nucleotides long. RefSeq lists it as uncharacterized. Lineage: Eukaryota; Metazoa; Chordata; Aves; Falconiformes; Falconidae. The record is from RefSeq and is a predicted model, not a curated record. The transcript is spliced from 2 exons.
GAUCGCAAAGAAAAUUAGAAUGUAUUGUUAUCUAUACUUCUGAAGUGGCAACGCAUUCUGAUAGCUGCAGUGAACAAGUGCAGUACUGUAAGAAUAAAACAGGAAGGGAUAAGGAAGAGAAACGUAAGCAAAUGCUGUAUCUCUGCAAAAUGCCUUCUAUUCUACAAUGAAAAAUAUCUUGCUUUAUAUGCUGUUAGUAUGGACAACUCUAUACAGCAACAUCAACACGGUAAUUUUAAAUUCAUUUGUAUUUUUCCUUUUUGCCAUCGACGAGGAGGCUUGCUUACAAACAUACAGCAAAGACGGUUUAAGCUUAAGUAAUUUAACCUUUUCAGCAUAAUGAAGAAAAAAAGAGCUGACAUGUAAUAACAGUCUAUUCCAGACUAUAAAUAUUGGUAACUAGACAGGAAAAAAAUGCCGACAGUAUGAACCACUGCAGUAGGUUACAGUGGGAAGGGUACAGGGCAAGAGGUUGAAAUGCUCUAUGGAUUUCCUGAAGACAGCCUGUAACCUCCUAAUGCUCCCAUUCAAGAAUCUUGAAUUCUAAGGUGAGCUGAAAACUAGGAGGUGUACAUAUGGAACGUCUGACUGCUUAAAGCUUGUGUAGUGUUUAUGAGGAUUUUAGGAAACAUAUAGUAAUUGAAAAAUAGGUUGAGACUGCAUUAUAAAUUUAAAUUAGAAGUAUACACCACAGGUGAUAAGCUUGCAGAUCUGAGGAGGUAGAAAAAGAAGAUUGACACAAACAUCAUCAAAUUUGUGCCUUUUUUUUUCUUUUUUUCCUUAACAUAGCACAUGUCUCUGGUAGGUUUUGGGUUUUUUUUUUUUCUUCUCCUGACUGUAGGCAAUGACAGUUCUUUUAAGGGGUAGAGUCCGUGCGGCCGUAGAUGAAAAGCCUGAAGGCUACUUUCAGAACGCAAGGCAAAUCCACAUCAAACUAGACCCCCACCUAAGUCAGACCUGGCUAGGUAGUUUUAAAUUAGAACCAAAUGGAUUUCAGAUGAAGGGGAGGGAGGGAUGGAAGAAUUACUAGGCAUGACAAGAAAAAAGAGCAUUUGAUGGUACCAGCUACAACACUUUGUUAUGAAAAGAAAACACUGUAUUCCUUAUAUGAAGCAUGUAUAUGGUAUCUUUCAUUAUUUAUAAUGAAAGUGUGGCAAUCUUUUAUCUUGGUUCAGUUAUUCAGAAGUCCUGUACUUAGGUUGAUUUUUUUAUUUUGUAAUUGUGUACACCAUACAUUGCAUUACUGCUAUACAUGUAUUGCUUUGUAAGUACACAAAGUUUGUUUUGUUUUUUUAGUGACUAAUAAACGUAAGGUAGUACUAUUCUGGUGCAGGAUGUGACCAGGUAUGCAGAUCGUUAAUCUAGAUUAAUGUCAUAGUCUGUCAUCUGGGAAUAAUCUGAUUCUAUCCUAAAAGUAGGUCAUAUCAUUUGCCAAAUUUUUCUUGACUGUGACAUGCUAAUUUACUUUUUUGUUUAGCUUCACUAACAUUAUUUUGCCACCUUUUAAUUGUAUUUAUAAAAAAAUGUAUUAUCAUUACUUGGGAUUGUUGUGCUGACAUAAUGGGGGUUUAACAUCAAUAAAUAUUACACAAAUAGAAAGUUUUCCUUCUGGUAAAGACUUGACUGUUUCUGUACAAGCAUGCAAGUGUAAGAUGUAGAAAUUUUAAGUAUUAUGAAUACAGAUGAAAUGAGGGCUAUAUGCAGUAUCUAGAAAUGACUACAAUUUAUCAGAAUAUUCUGCUUCUGACCCAGAAUCUCAUUCAAACAAAACAGAGGAACAUGGCCCGUAAGUUCUGAGAAACUUCUGCCAAAUAAAAGUACUUGAAGAUGCUUUUUAAAAAAAGGUUAGAAAAUAUGCAGGUCUAUUUUCCAUGUCUAGUAAUUGCAAUAUGACAUCACAACCGACUAAGUAAAAGGCAUGGUUGAAGUGUUGUUAAAUUCAUUUAAGAACAGUCUUCUAACAAGGCAGUAUCAAAAUUUGAAAUGUUAAACUUUACUUUUAAAAAUCCUGCAUGUUACCUAGCUUCUCCUUUCCUUUCAGUGCAAAGACAUGAGGAAAGAUGCAAGAUAAAUUUUUUUUUCCUUUUAGGUUUACUUUUCAAGUGUUGAUUACUACAAAGAGAAUUAUCUCAGCAAUUAAGACUAAAACAAGAAGUCCUGACUUUUUGCAAGACUUCAGGUUUGGCUAUGGGAAGACUUCAAAUUCUUUAGGAAGCUGAUCAGCCCAAGCGUAUUCAAAGCGAUCAAAGACUCAAUGCAGCUACAUUCAGGAUGAUGACACAAACCUCUGUCAAGUGUGUCGAUAGUGAGGUGCAAAAUUCCACACCCAUGAAGGUUUGUUCAGCUGGUGGUGUACCUUAACACACAAUGCCUUUAUCCUGCAACUUCACAACAGCAACAAUUACUUAACACACCCCUUCCCUUCCCGCCCCCCCCCCCCCAUCACCACCAACUGGGGAUCAAAACUAGAGUCCAGUUUGAAGCCCUGGCUUAUAAAAUCAUAGUUUCUUUCUGUAUUGCCACUUUCAAAGGCCCUUUUAAUUCCCUUAGGUUGUAUGGUAAUAAAUGCCUUGAUUCCCCA